GCUAGUUGGCGGGCGACGGCCCACCAAGGCGACGAUGUCUAGGGGUUCUGAGAGGAACGGUCCCCACACUGGUACUGAGACACGGACCAGACUCCUACGGGAGGCAGCAG
RNAcentral lists this ribosomal RNA (110 nucleotides) under uncultured bacterium. RNAcentral's name for it is "partial 16S ribosomal RNA". It matches the Rfam family "Bacterial small subunit ribosomal RNA", at positions 244 to 354 of the family's 1533-position model. The record is from RNAcentral.